Long non-coding RNA from Sapajus apella (tufted capuchin), 3360 nucleotides. RefSeq lists it as uncharacterized. Lineage: Eukaryota; Metazoa; Chordata; Mammalia; Primates; Cebidae. The record is from RefSeq and is a predicted model, not a curated record. The transcript has 2 exons.
UUCAUUUAAUUCGCCUGUUUUCAGUGAGGUGCUUCAGCCCUCAACAAAGUCUGGUAUACCUAAGGAAAAAGUGCGUCUGGUUCAACCUCUCUUGUUAAUAAAAAUCAAGUCUUCUUCUGGGGUGAGGGGAGUAUGGGAGAAGGGAUAUAUGGCUGCUACCCUCCUGUAGCUUACAGUUUGUGUGUGUGUGUGUGUGUGUGUGUGUGUGUGUGUGUGUGUGUGUGUGUUUGAAGUUAGUGGUAUGAAAAGGUCCAUUGGCUUUAAUUUUGUAGCUGACUCAGACCCAGUGAUGACCUAUCUCUUUCAGGGUUUCUAAUUGCUAAAAUCCAAAGCAGACUUUUGAAAUCUUUUAUCUUGCACCUUUUAGAAUAGAAUUGUUAAGACUGAAAGAAGCUUGUACUUGUAGUUCUUAAAGGAAAAGGAAAAUGCUCUAGGGGUGCAUCAAAGGCAAAGACCCAAACAGGAAUGUUCAGAAAACUUCACGGGUUUCACAAUUUAAAGAGUUUUGAGGAAACUUUUCUGAACUGAAGCAUUCUCAAGAGAUUCCAAGGUGGCCUGAGAUUCCACAUUUCUUGGAUAGAAAGAUGUGGACUUGGCAGUGAUUUUGCAAAUCAGAACAAGAACAAUUUCACAAAUACAUUGGCAAGUGGCUAUGUCCCAGACUUGUUGUUGACUUAAGCCAGUAUUUAUGGAAUAACUCUCAUGUUCUGUGUAGUUGGUCAAGGAGUUGGAGGUAAAAGAUGAAUACCAUUCAGUAGCUUUGUGAAAAAUUCUAGACCAUGUUCAAAAGUUUUUUGUUUAUACUUGUAAUAUUUAUUUCUGUGGAAUGACACAAAAGUCUAUCUUGACAUGUCAGAAAAUGAUAACUAGGAGUUAUUUAUUCUUUUCUGAGUUUUUUUCCUUUUGUGAAUGUAACUUAAGAGUGACUCAUCACGUGUUUAAAAUUUAAAAUUUUCAUCAAAGAACACCAUCUGUCAUAAUGCAGUAAAAAAAGGAACAUUAUGUGAUUUUCUUUGAAGAUAAGGGAUUGAAAGUGAGUCAGUUAACUGCCCUAGAUUACCAUUUGAGGUCAUUUUGAACUAAAUUGGCUUUGGAAUCAGAAUUUAAAUUUCCAGUCAGACUCAGUUAAGAUAACUGGUCAUGAAGGCAGCUCAUUCACCUGCCUUCCUUCUCAUAAAAGGAAUAUUUUUAUUAUUUGUAUUCCUUUAUGGCCAAGUUAGGCAUAGGCAUUAUUUUUGAGAACAUAUACAUUUUACACAGUGAUUGAUUUAGGUGUUUAAGGGUGCUUUUGUAUCUAAAUAAGAAAUCAGAAAAAUCAUUCACUAUUUGGUUUUCUAGAGAUAUUCACAGUAGACCAUUUUGAAGUUGCUGGGAGGUAAAUCAAUAUAUUACUGAGUUAUAUUUUUGCUGCCCUGUGCAAUAUUAAGAGAAGAAGCUUUCACAAACAAACCCCAGUUAAAAUUAUUUAGUUAUAAUAAUAAAUGUAUAGUUGGACAUGUUUUAAGAAAACGUAAAUUAUAAAUAUGUGCAUUUAUUUUAACAAUUUACAUAUGCAUUUAUAAAACUAAACUUUCUGUUUGUGAUAAGUGAGUAUAAAAUUAUAUACAAAAUUAUAUGCUCUUUUAACUUACUCAACAUGAGAGAUUUAAAAUGACGAGGUUCGCUGUGAAUUUAAUCUUCACUUUUUUUAUUUACAGACUAGAACAAAUCAAUAUUUUUUCAAUUAUAAAAUUUUAGGAAUGGAAAAUUAUUAAAUGUACAAAGGGGGAGAGCUUUUAGAAUUUAGAACUACAAAGAAGGAAAACAAUUUAAACCUACAGAUGAAUUUGAUGGGAUUGGUUGUAUGUCUGCAGCUGUCUGGAAAAUUCAGGAAAUAAGGUGCCUUGUACUAGCUGGACACUGGAACUUCACAGGGAAACGAAAAUAUCUUGAAUGACUUGCUGAUGUUCUUUAAAUGAUGCUAAUAUCUAUUCUAUAAAACCUGAAAGUAUGUAGAUGUCAUUGUCUGUUUAGAAUCACAUGUCUUGGGAUUUGGGACUGUUGGCAAGAAGGUCGAUUUGAUUUAGACCAUGUAUUGAUCUACAUAUAUUUUUGAAAUAUUUUGGCUGAAAUGCAAUUUGGUAUGGUUAAGUCUUAUCCAUUUGUAACAUUUUAUCUUAAAACUAUAUCUAUAGAAGUUUUUAAAAAAUAAUGUAAAAAAUCAAAGUUGUAUUUUGAUGUUUAAUGCAUUGAUUUAAAAAAAUUAUAUACAGAGCAAAAUGUUUGAGUUUUUGAUGAUAUUUUGCUUAAAAUAUUAGGUGCAAAUGUCAGGUAAUUCUACAAUUAGAAUUGCAUCAUGAUACUUUGUGCAUGGAGACAGUACAAAACCAAAAAUGAUGAGACAAGUGAAAUCUUUAUUAAGGAAGGUCUAACAGCCCUAUCAGAUAGGUUUGCUUUUUCUUGGAAAAUUUGCUAAAAAAAAAAAUCAUCCAGGAAAUAAUGUGAUUAGAAAUGCUCAUUCAAUGUGCAUAUGUGUUUAAUCUACUCCACAAAGAUACUGUUUUUUGUAGCAUUGUUUUAUUGAACACAUUUUAUUAAAUUUUCUUAUCAAAACAGGCUUAUAUUGAAUUUAACAAUACCUUGGCAAAGUUGCAAUCUUUGUAAGUGUACAAGUAAGCUAGAUGGAUUACUAUUAAAAUACAAUUUCUAGUGUUACAGCUCUUUUAGAGUUUGUCUAGCAGAUUUUCUGUUUUUUUUUACCAAGAAGGAAAUGUCAGUUCUUAGUCUUCAUUUGGAAUUUAUAAAAAACGUUAAAAAUCACCAAGUUUUCCAAAAGUUUAUGCCAGACAAUUCAUUUGCUAUUUAAAAAUAAAGUGCAGUUUCUUAAUAAAAAGUAUAGCCUGAGUAUUGUCCCAUAUAAAUGAAUUUCCUGGGUUUGGGAGAAAAAAUUAAUACAUUGAAAUCAAUAGUUGACCAUAGAUUUAAAUAUGAUACAAAAGGUUUAAAAAUCUAAAUUGUCAUUGUUUACAAAAUAUUGGCAAAUUAGAGCUCCAGCGCUUGGUGUUAUUGUGUAAUCUUCUGUUUAAAAAUAAACAGUGGAAAUAAUUGUAAAAACCUCUGGGCUUAGAAAGGCUUGUUGGUGGUUCUUCACAUCCUACUAAAAAAGCAGGCUGUCUUUGCAUAUUAAUCACUCUGUGAAAGGAAGCUUGCCUUAUUUGCAUUGUGCAUGCACUAAGAAGUCCAAUAGUGCGCCUGAGAAAAAAAAAUGGGGGGAUUGUAAUUGUUGUUCUCAAAAGGGUUUUUAUUCCAUUCAAGUGGAAAAGCUGAAUACUGGAGAAUUAGUGCAGUGUUUUGUGGAAGAAGAGUCCCUUUUGGCCACUG